CCGAGUUUACAACUCCCAAACCCAAUGUGAACGUUACCAAACUGUUGCCUCGGCGGGAUCUCUGCCCCGGGUGCGUCGCAGCCCCGGACCAAGGCGCCCGCCGGAGGACCAACCAAAACUCUUAUUGUAUACCCCCUCGCGGGUUUUUUUUAUAAUCUGAGCCUUCUCGGCGCCUCUCGUAGGCGUUUCGAAAAUGAAUC
This 200-nucleotide unclassified non-coding RNA is filed under the name soil metagenome. Its description in RNAcentral is "partial internal transcribed spacer 1". The record is from RNAcentral.